RNAcentral lists this ribosomal RNA (520 nucleotides) under uncultured fungus. Its description in RNAcentral is "eukaryotic LSU rRNA". The stretch from base 154 to 307 matches the Rfam family "5.8S ribosomal RNA". The record is from RNAcentral. Lineage: Eukaryota; Fungi.
CAUUACCGAGUUUACAACUCCCAAACCCCUGUGAACAUACCUAUACGUUGCCUCGGCGGAUCAGCCCGCGCCCUGUAAAAAGGGACGGCCCGCCCGAGGACCCUAAACUCUGUUUUUAGUGGAACUUCUGAGUAAAACAAACAAAUAAAUCAAAACUUUCAACAACGGAUCUCUUGGUUCUGGCAUCGAUGAAGAACGCAGCAAAAUGCGAUAAGUAAUGUGAAUUGCAGAAUUCAGUGAAUCAUCGAAUCUUUGAACGCACAUUGCGCCCGCCAGUAUUCUGGCGGGCAUGCCUGUUCGAGCGUCAUUUCAACCCUCAAGCUCUGCUUGGUGUUGGGACUCGCGGUAACCCGCGUUCCCCAAAUCGAUUGGCGGUCACGUCGAGCUUCCAUAGCGUAGUAAUCAUACACCUCGUUACUGGUAAUCGUCGCGGCCACGCCGUAAAACCCCAACUUCUGAAUGUUGACCUCGGAUCAGGUAGGAAUACCCGCUGAACUUAAGCAUAUCAAUAAGCGGAGGA